CACAUGUGACGUAGUUUGAUCCUGGCUCAGAGCGAACGCUAGCGGGUGGCUUAACACAUGCAAGUCGAGCGCCGAUUUCGGUCGGAGCGGCGAACGGGUGAGUAACACGUAGGGUAUCUGCCCUUUGGUGAGGGAUAACUCGGGGAAACCCAAGCUAAUACCACAUAUGGCCUACGGGUCAAAGGCUUCGGCCGCCAGAGGAUGAACCUGCGGCCCAUUAUUUAAUCCUUGUUGGUGGGGUAACGGCCUACCAAGGGUACGAUGGGUAGCUGGUCUGAGAGGACGAUCAGCCACACUGGGACUGAGACACGGCCCAGACUCCUACGGGAGGCAGCAGUGGGGAAUAUUGCGCAAUGGGGGAAACCCUGACGCAGCCAACCCGCGUGAGUGAUGAAGGCCUUCGGGUUGUAAAGCUCUGUCGUGAGGGAAGAAGUUCUGACGGUACCUCACAAGAAAGCACCGGCUAACUCCGUG
Molecule: ribosomal RNA, 474 nt
Filed under: uncultured bacterium
Lineage: Bacteria
Description: bacterial SSU rRNA
Rfam family: Bacterial small subunit ribosomal RNA
Source: RNAcentral